RNAcentral lists this small nucleolar RNA (134 nucleotides) under Caenorhabditis briggsae. RNAcentral's name for it is "Cb352 H/ACA snoRNA". It matches the Rfam family "Caenorhabditis snoRNA ceN84". The record is from RNAcentral. Lineage: Eukaryota; Metazoa; Nematoda; Chromadorea; Rhabditida; Rhabditidae.
CAUGCCACAAUGUCUGGGCAAGGUGUCCUGCACCCGCUUGAUCAACCUAAUCCAUUGAUGGCUAUAUAAAAUUCAUUGAUUAAUCCCUGUCGAGUUGAAUUAGAACUCUUCAGUUUCAUCUCAUUGAUACAUUU